UGAAGGUUCAGUAAAUGAUUGGACAUUAUAAUUAAUUAAAGUAUGUUAGUUCAUGUUUUAAAAUUGUAAUAGCUUCGAGAUUGGUGUUUUAGGCUCAGCUUAUGUUAGAGAGAGACAUUUCUAGAAACCAUAAAUGCUAUAUAAAAGAAUAACCACAUGGUUUAUGUAUAUGUUGUGUCUAUUGCAAUGGCUUUUACAAAGGAACAAUAUUGUUUAUUAAGUGAUGUGAAUUAUACAAUUAUUCUCUCUGUCAGCUAUGUAAUUAUGCUCACCAUGCACAUGUUUUAGCUAAUGAUUCUUUGUUUCUUGUCAAGUAUCUAACUGAUUUUUUCAGCAUCUUCUUUGUUUGAACUAUUAAGUUAGGUAAUCUAAAGCCCAGACUCAAUAGCUCAAAACAUUGUUCUACAUUUAAGCUCGAUUUCAUCUCAUGUCUCUCAUUCAGCUUUAGAAAAAAUUUGUCUUUAAACUUGCAAUCAUAUAGCAACCAAAAAUAAAUAAAUAAAUAAAUAAAAUUUGUGAACAUUUCUUUGUGGGGAAAUUUUUUGCAUCACCUGAUGUAAGGCUUGCUUGUACUUGUUUGGAUUAGUCCAUUUUUUAUAUGCUGCAGUUUAUGGUUUUGAUUACUCUUUUUUUUUUUUUUUCUUUGAUGGGGUUUGAUUUGAUUACUCUUACUUAAUCAUGUUAUGCAUGGAAGCUGUCAGGAAGAUUGAUUUCCAUUGUCAGUGAAGAGGGCCCAUUUUAGAUUAUUGGCCAUGAAGAGAGGAUACCAAGAAUCUUCUUCGUCGGGUUCUCUUAGACCGCCUCAAUCCAAAAUCAAACACAACCCAGAAGAUUUUGUUGAGGGAAUAGUUGAUAUGAUCGAGCGGGUGAUGUUGGGAGCCAAAGAUUAUGUUGCACUUUUUUUUUUUUUUUUUUAAGACUUGAAUUUUUUAGUACAGUGUAUUUAAGGAUGGUUAAUGGAUAAUGUCUAUUAUAAAUUUAAUUAAUUUGUUAAUUUUGUUA
Non-coding RNA from Camellia sinensis, 1002 nucleotides. The record is from RefSeq and is a predicted model, not a curated record. Lineage: Eukaryota; Viridiplantae; Streptophyta; Magnoliopsida; Ericales; Theaceae.